CAAUAGCGUAUAUUAAAGUUGUUGCAGUUAAAAAGCUCGUAGUUGGAUUUCUGGUAGGAGCGACCGUGCCGAACUUGAUUGUUCGAGUAUUGUGUUGUCCUCAGCCAUCCUCGUGGAGAACUUUUCUAACAUUAACUUGUUGGGAUUGGGACCCGCGUCGUUUACUGUGAAAAAAUUAGAGUGUUUAAAGCAGGCAUUAGCUUGAAUACAUUAGCAUGGAAUAAUAAGAUAGGACUUUGGUACUAUUUUGUUGGUUUGCAUACCAAAUUAAUGAUCAACAGGAACAGUUUGAGGAUAUUCGUAUGAACAUGUCAGAGGUGAAAUUCUUGGAUUUUGAUCAGACGAACUACUGCGAAAGCAUUUAUCAAGGAUGUUUUCAUUAA
Molecule: ribosomal RNA, 383 nt
Filed under: uncultured eukaryote
Lineage: Eukaryota
Description: partial 18S ribosomal RNA
Rfam family: Eukaryotic small subunit ribosomal RNA
Source: RNAcentral